UAGGGAAGUGUGGGAGAAAAUUUAGGGAUAGGAGGAGUUAAUUGAGGGAUUUAGGGGGAAGUGGAGAUUGAGUAGAAUCCUAUGCUUUCAAAAAAUUUCUAUUCUUCAGAAAAAAGGCGAGCAAACAUCCCCCUCCUCUUCUUGGCCGAAUCUUCCCCUCCUCAUCUUUUUUUUUCUUUUUUUAUUUUUUUCACCUUUUUGUUGUCAACCGAAAAUCCUCCACUUGCUGCCAUUAUUUUCAAAAUUCGUUCCCCUUUCUGAUCUAAAACUUAUGACGCUAGUUUCCCUUCCCCUCAAGCCAACCGUGCAUUAUCUUGCUCCCCUCCUUGUCUGAAUAUUGCUUGGUGAGUUCUGCUUUACUUUCUGUCCCCUUUCGGCUGUGCACUUCCUUUUCCA
This 396-nucleotide long non-coding RNA is filed under the name Gossypium raimondii (Peruvian cotton). RNAcentral's name for it is "long non-coding RNA (GRAI_LNC010634)". The record is from RNAcentral. Lineage: Eukaryota; Viridiplantae; Streptophyta; Magnoliopsida; Malvales; Malvaceae.